This is a long non-coding RNA of Drosophila gunungcola (fruit fly), 413 nucleotides long. RefSeq lists it as uncharacterized. NCBI's taxonomy places the organism in Eukaryota, Metazoa, Arthropoda, Insecta, Diptera, Drosophilidae. The transcript has 3 exons. The record is from RefSeq and is a predicted model, not a curated record.
CUGUAUUCAAUUUCGAAAUCAAAUGCCUGUAGAAACUCCCACCAACGAUAAACUCUAGGUGACAAUUCGACUUUAUUUCGAGAAGAUUUGAUUGAAUUACACAUUCACGACAGCCAGCGUUUCCAAUUCAUAGGAUAUGUAUCUGGACUCACAGGAGCUAGUUGCUCUACUAUAGUAUUCAACCACGUCAGGCUUAGAGUUUAUGCGGUGCAAAAGGAUUGCCCCAUACCCUAUAGAACUGGCAUCGGUAUGCAACUCUAUCGGAAACUGUGGAUAGAAAAUAAUCAAAACAGGCUUAUGUGAGAAAAUAUAACGGCUUCAUUAAUUGUGAAAAACCCGGAAUGAAUUGACGAAAAUAUGACGCUAACCCAAUAAACUGUCUCAGAGUAGCAACUGAUUUCGGUGGAGGCAAC